GGGCAUAAGCUACAAUGGGAUGGUUAAGAAUCCAACCACCACUCCUCUCUCUUCAACCCAAAACAUUGUCCUUACUAUAAGAAGCGUAUGAAAGCUAGAUAUUUAUGAACCACAGCUCUGCUCCAAUGUUCGUAUGCAAGGUGAACCAUCUCUCUCUCUCUCUCUCUCUCUCUCUCUCUAAAUAUUAAUCAUGCGUUUGUGUGUAUGCAUGUGUGCUCGAUCGUGUGUUUCUAUAUGUACGUAUGUUUGCUGAGGUCUUCAUAUGCUUUUUAAAAAUAAGCUAGCCAUAGUGCAGCAUGUCCUUUAUUUCUUAAUUAUUAUAUGAGUGAGUUUGUCUAUGUGUGUAAAAAAUAUUUUAUACAUUUGAUUGCUUGAGACUUGAGUAAUAUAACCAAGCAAAUAUCUACGUGUGUAUUGACUCGUUGAUGACAACAAGGAUAGCAUUCAUUUAUUUUUCUUAUCUUAUUUUGUACUCACAAUCAUCUGUUACUCAAUUAUGUGAAAAAAUUACACAAAAAAUAAAUCUAG
RNAcentral lists this long non-coding RNA (528 nucleotides) under Ananas comosus (pineapple). Its description in RNAcentral is "long non-coding RNA (ACOM_LNC035142)". Lineage: Eukaryota; Viridiplantae; Streptophyta; Magnoliopsida; Poales; Bromeliaceae. The record is from RNAcentral.